GGGCAAGCUUACUGGCAGUCCGAGCGAAAUAACUGAGAGCUUGGUUUCUGAUAUUUUAGCGGCGGACGGGUGAGUAACGUGUGGGUAACCUGCCUUUUACUGUGGAAUAAUCGUUGGAAACGACGACUAAUACCGCAUACGGUUCUUGGAAGGCAUCUUCUAAGAAAGAAAGGAGUAAUUCGGUAAAAGAUGGGCCCGCAUCUGAUUAGCUAGUUGGUGAGAUAAUAGCCCACCAAGGCAACGAUCAGUAGCCGACCUGAGAGGGUGACCGGCCACAUUGGGACUGAGACACGGCCCAAACUCCUACGGGAGGCAGCAGUGGGGAAUAUUGCACAAUGGGCGAAAGCCUGAUGCAGCAACGCCGCGUGAAGGAAGACGGUUUUCGGAUUGUAAACUUCUAUCAAUAGGGAAGAAAGAAAUGACGGUACCUAAAUAAGAAGCCCCGGCUAACUACGUGCCAGCAGCCGCGGUAAUACGUAGGGGGCAAGCGUUAUCCGGAAUUACUGGGUGUAAAGGGAGAGUAGGCGGCAAGGUAAGCGAUAUGUGAAAGCCUUAGGCUUAACCAAAGGAUUGCAUAACGAACUAUCUAGCUAGAGUACAGGAGAGGAAAGCGGAAUUCCUAGUGUAGCGGUGAAAUGCGUAGAUAUUAGGAAGAACACCAGUGGCGAAGGCGGCUUUCUGGACUGAAACUGACGCUGAGGCUCGAAAGCGUGGGGAGCGAACAGGAUUAGAUACCCUGGUAGUCCACGCUGUAAACGAUGAGUGCUAGGUGUCGGGGAGGAAUUCCCGGUGCCGGAGCAAACGCAAUAAGCACUCCACCUGGGGAGUACGAACGCAAGGGUUGAACUCAAAGGAAUUGACGGGGGCCCGCACAAGCGGUGGAACAUGGUGUUUAAUUUG
This 900-nucleotide ribosomal RNA is filed under the name uncultured bacterium. Its description in RNAcentral is "bacterial SSU rRNA". It matches the Rfam family "Bacterial small subunit ribosomal RNA", at positions 44 to 953 of the family's 1533-position model. The record is from RNAcentral.